GCCUGACGUGCAACUUGAGAGACAAACACACUCCAGCAUGGAACAAAUUGGGAGAACAGGGCCCUGGAUAAACACGUCUUGGGAAGGCAAGGAGAACCUAGGCAACGAGAGGCCUGAUCAGAGCGGAGGCCUUCAUCAGGCAGGAGUGGUUUUAUGCCAGCCUGUCUACGGAGGACCCUGGCCAGCACAGACCCUAGCCGUCUGAGCAGGGUGCCAGAGGAAAUCACAGCUGGCAGGGAAAGGGUGUUUCCAGACUGCGGUCCUCAGAACUGUCCUUGUCAAGGCCCGGAAGACUGGCGUUCUUCACGCGAUGCUCUCAAAAGGCACGACACGAGUGAGAGAUGCUGAUCGCCAGCCAUGGAAGAUGGCGUUGAGCCUAGGGAGUGACUAGGCAUGGAAGUAAAGUUCCUCCCCUCAAGAUAUGGGGUCUUCUUCCCUACUCCUUGAAUCUGGGCUGUCUACGUGACCGGCAUUAGCCAACGGAACAUCGACAGGGGAGACACAGGCAGAGGUUCGAAAAGGACUUCCGCUUUGGGGCUCGUCCUCUCGCCCCACUGAGAACCAUGAGACCGUCAUGUGCAUGAGCCUGAACUAACCUGCUGGAGAGGUUCCAGGGAGUACAACUGGGGCACUCUGGCCAACGGCCGGCCAAGCACCCAACAUCCGAGAGAGAUCCUUCUUGAUCAUCCAGCCCACCGGAGAAUCGCAGGCGCGUGAGCAAGCACGCCAAAGAAGCCAUACUCAGCCAACACGCCAGAUUGACAGCUAAAUAACAUAGGAAGGUCACAAACCACAGACGUGAAGAGUUUCUUUAUGGCGAGCAGGGAGGGACAAACAGCACUGCCUCAUCGAAGACCUACGGCAACGAGGCACCACCAGGACCACAUGUGGUAUAGAUCACUCAAGGUGGCCACUGGGAAUAAGACAGAGAAACAGCAGAGUCAGGCCUGGGAGGCAGAUCUGCCCCCAUUCCCCAGCUGGAGGCUCGUUGUUACGGGAGAAGAACAACACUGUCUGGGUGGAGGGAAGGCAUCCGAGCGUGCACCUUAGAGCCCUCCUGGACAGCAGAAGCUUGGAUGGCGCCUCCCUCCGAGAGCAGCUUCUGUGCCUUCCUUCGAGCGCCUGGCUUACCUGGCUAACAUGGGCUCGCCUCAAAGACACGGAGGCUCCUUGGCGAGCUCCUGGAACACAGAGCUUGGACUCUCAUUUCUAUCUGCGUGAUCUCCACCUCCCAGGCUCCUGUGUGCCCCAGGCUUGGCCUUAUCCGGCCCCUUAUUCGGCCUCGGGGCUGCCUCACCCCUAGAUACCUGCCCUCGAUUCUGUCCUCUGCCCCCCUACAUCCUUCUCAGGCCCAGAACCUUCCACGUGUACCUCUCCACAGGCCAUUCCAAUGCUUUUUGCCUUCCUCUCAGGACGCCUAUGGAUGCCCUUUGAAUAGUCACAGAAGCUCCCUUCCUCCAAAAAGCCUCCCCUCUCUCCCUCCACUGAGUCACAAAGUCUCUGAGCACGAGGGCCCCUCUGGAGAUGCCAUGCCCAAGAGCAGGCAUCUCUUCUUUCCUCGUGCCCUCCUUCCUGUCUUCUGGAGACAGGGCCCUCGUCGUCGUUUUCCUCCUUGCCCUCCUUUACCUACCGCCUGCCUCGAGCUUGGGAAUGGGGUGUCCAGGGACUCCCCGUGAUCGACGACGGCAGACCGCGGGGCAGCCGCGACACAACUGGAACGAAUCGACCGAGGCCGAAUGCUAACUGCCUCUGGCCACCUCUCCUCUUGGGCCUCUCUCUCAGGCCCCAGAAACACUAAAGGUUCAGGUCCUAAAAAUCCGAACUCCCGGGCCCACGAAUCAUCAUUUCCAGCCUGAAAGAGGCACCCAACCCAAUCUAAUACUCCUGUAUUCCUGGGCAUAGCAUGGUCAUUAAAGCUGCCCUCCCUCCUGAACUCAGGGCGCUUUCACUGCUGCUCUCCUCUGACCGUCCCGUGAGUGGUGGUCCAAUAAAUGGUCCAGGAGGCUCAAAGGGAGACCUGGGUGUUCCCUGGACCUGUGGGUCACUGGCGGUUCAUUCUGGGCUCCGGAUCCAAAGGAGCUGGGGGUAGGUUUCAGCCCCCAAAGUGGAGGCCAGACCUCCCACAUCCAACAACCACAAGUCAGAGAUUGCUACGGUGAACAGAAGCGGCCUGAGCCCCGAUGUGCCCACACGUGUCCCAGAUGGGAUUUUCCCUCCCAGAAGAAACUGCCCAGAGCCUGUUCUUUUGAAAGGCUUGUCUUUCUCGGGGAGCCUGGGUGGCGCAGUCGGUUAAGCAUCCGACUUCAGCCAGGUCACGAUCUCGCGGUCCGUGAGUUCGAGCCCCGC
Molecule: long non-coding RNA, 2346 nt
Organism: Felis catus (domestic cat)
Lineage: Eukaryota; Metazoa; Chordata; Mammalia; Carnivora; Felidae
Exons: 4
Source: RefSeq, a predicted model, not a curated record